GGUGAAAUGAAUUUCGCCUGAGGAUGAGCCCGCGUCUGAUUAGCUAGUUGGUGGGGUAAUGGCCCACCAAGGCGACGAUCAGUAGCUGGUCUGAGAGGAUGAUCAGCCACACUGGGACUGAGACACGGCCCAGACUCCUACGGGAGGCAGCAGUGGGGAAUUUUCCGCAAUGGGCGAAAGCCUGACGGAGCAACGCCGCGUGAGGGAUGAAGGCCUCUGGGCUGUAAACCUCUUUUCUCAAGGAAGAAGACAUGACGGUACUUGAGGAAUAAGCCACGGCUAAUUCCGUGCCAGCAGCCGCGGUAAUACGGGAGUGGCAAGCGUUAUCCGGAAUUAUUGGGCGUAAAGCGUCCGCAGGCGGCCUUGUAAGUCUGUCGUUAAAGCGUGGAGCUUAACUCCAUUUAAGCGAUGGAAACUACAAGGCUUGAGUGUGGUAGGGGCAGAGGGAAUUCCCGGUGUAGCGNUGAAAUGCGUAGAUAUCGGGAAGAACACCAGUGG
Molecule: ribosomal RNA, 498 nt
Filed under: Cyanobium sp. 0ES38S4
Lineage: Bacteria; Bacillati; Cyanobacteriota; Cyanophyceae; Synechococcales; Prochlorococcaceae
Description: bacterial SSU rRNA
Rfam family: Bacterial small subunit ribosomal RNA
Source: RNAcentral